RNAcentral lists this long non-coding RNA (1581 nucleotides) under Nicotiana benthamiana. RNAcentral's name for it is "long non-coding RNA (NBEN_LNC004881)". The record is from RNAcentral. Lineage: Eukaryota; Viridiplantae; Streptophyta; Magnoliopsida; Solanales; Solanaceae.
UAACGAAGAAUAAACAAGAAGCUAUUCUAAGAGAGCCUUCAGCCAGGCCCAGACCUCCAACCUAACUUCUUUCGAGCUUCACAGCCUUCACCAAGAGUUUGGCUGCGGCAAAGUUCCCUAGGGGUCUUUUGAGACCCCGGCCAAUACGAGGAACCCAAAACAAAUCACCAUUGAUAAGUGCGAGUGUGGAAUUGCCAACCUUGUGCAUCAAAGUUUAGUGGGUACUCAAGGUACCCAAAGCAAUGGUUACACUAGGGGGCAUGACCUUAUUCUAAGAGUAGUGUGAUUGUGAUAAAAUUUGAAGGUUUUGAGUUGAAAAGGUUUUACAUGAAGGACAGUUUGAGAAAAACAAUAGAAGAUUGAAAAAACUUAAUUGAGUUUGAAAAACGUUACUUAGAGGCUAGUUUUGAAAGCAAUAGUCACACAGGCAAAGAUAAAGGCAAAGGAAGCAAACAACUCACAAACAAGACAGUCAUUCACAAACAUUUAAAGGAGAGUUGAUGCUUCAGUCAGGAGUCUAACUCUUAUAGCGCCAGACAUCAAAUCAUCCUCAAAAGGUUUUGGGCUAUGGAGUAGCCAUGAGAAUGCUAGUAGUAUACAAAAGAAAAGGGGAAACAUGCAUUGGGAUAGUCAAGGGGGUAAUGAACAUGCUAGGCUUACUAAUUAGGCCUACCAGUUAACACAGAUGCAUGCGAGUUGAUAUAGGAGCAGCUGAACCAGAAUAAAAGAAAGUGCAGCAACAAUAGAAGCGUGUUGUUUUUGAGGCUAUAACUUAAGAAAGAUACAUACCAGUUGGAAAAUAAUGUAAACACAGAGCAAUAGUGAGCAACGAAGUGAGCAGUAAUGUGCAGAGAGAAGCAGAGAGGAGAGCAGCAGUAUGCAGGAAGUGAGCAGCAGGCAGACCCAAAGCAGGUAACACAGUAGAGACCAGAAGAGACAAAGGUUACUCAACUUUGGCUUGCAGCCAGUUGAGUGAUUAGCAUUCAACAGGAAAAGUGAAAGAAAAUUGUGUAGAAACAAAGAGCACAAAGAUGCUUGUGUGAAAGAGAGAGAGUUCAGAACAUUGAGUGUAAACAAUAUGCAAUGUGUUUGUGUCUUGCAAAGAGAGUGGGGGAGGACUAAAUACGAGUAAACAAACAAGGUAUAAGUCCCUUAAUUUAAGGGACUGGCAUCAAUAACAAUCCAAUCAGUAUAUGGACUUUCCUUUGAUUAAGGGAUCCCAAAUCAAACACUAAUAAUCAAUCAUAUAAAAGGAAAGAAAUCACAAAGUAAUGUAUAAUCACAUAAGGAAACAGAGUAGCAGAAAUUAUGCAAUAAAGACUACAACAUGACCAUCUAAUUAGGGAAACAGGUCAGGCAAAUCAAUCAACAAAUUUGUGUACAUAUAUAGGUCAAAACACCACUGUAAUUCUGAAAAAUAAUAGUUUUUCAAAAUAAUGACCGAGAUUGAAAACCUAGGAAAUCAGUAUUAACCGAGGAAAUUAUCCCACAAAUUAAGGAAGAAAUUUAAACUAUAGGGAAAAUACGCAGAAUCACAAUUUUAAAGCAAGUAUCACUGUCUCAAAGAGGGCUCGAAGAAUC